Molecule: ribosomal RNA, 492 nt
Filed under: uncultured bacterium
Lineage: Bacteria
Description: partial 16S ribosomal RNA
Rfam family: Bacterial small subunit ribosomal RNA
Source: RNAcentral
GAUGAACGCUAGCUACAGGCUUAACACAUGCAAGUCGAGGGGAAACGACAUCGAAAGCUUGCUUUUGAUGGGCGUCGACCGGCGCACGGGUGAGUAACGCGUAUCCAACCUGCCCAUCACUUGGGAAUAACCUUGCGAAAGUAAGACUAAUACCCAAUGAUAUCCCACGAAGGCAUCGGAAUGGGAUUAAAGAUUUAUCGGUGAUGGAUGGGGAUGCGUCUGAUUAGCUUGUUGGCGGGGUAACGGCCCACCAAGGCAACGAUCAGUAGGGGUUCUGAGGGGAAGGUCCCCCACAUUGGAACUGAGACACGGUCCAAACUCCUACGGGAGGCAGCAGUGAGGAAUAUUGGUCAAUGGGCGAGAGCCUGAACCAGCCAAGUAGCGUGCAGGAAGACGGCCCUAUGGGUUGUAAACUGCUUUUAUAAGGGAAUAAAGUGGGUCACGUGUGACUUUUUGCAUGUACCUUAUGAAUAAGGACCGGCUAAUUCCGUG